GCAGCCGUAGCUCAGCUGGAUAGAGCGCUUCCCUCCGAAGGAAGAGGUCAUGAGUUCGAAUCUCAUCGGUUGCGCCA
RNAcentral lists this transfer RNA (77 nucleotides) under Micavibrio aeruginosavorus. RNAcentral describes it as "tRNA-Arg". It matches the Rfam family "tRNA". Rfam says of the family: Transfer RNA (tRNA) molecules are approximately 80 nucleotides in length. Their secondary structure includes four short double-helical elements and three loops (D, anti-codon, and T loops). Lineage: Bacteria; Pseudomonadati; Bdellovibrionota; Bdellovibrionia; Bdellovibrionales; Pseudobdellovibrionaceae. The record is from RNAcentral.